This 444-nucleotide ribosomal RNA is filed under the name uncultured bacterium. RNAcentral's name for it is "partial 16S ribosomal RNA". It matches the Rfam family "Bacterial small subunit ribosomal RNA", at positions 338 to 795 of the family's 1533-position model. The record is from RNAcentral.
CCUACGGGAGGCAGCAGUGGGGAAUAUUGGGCAAUGGAGGCAACUCUUACCCAGCAAUGCCGCGUGAAUGAAGAAGGUCUUCGGAUUGUAAAGUUCUUUAAUGGGGGACGAAUAAUAUUACGGUACCCACGGAAUAAGCUACCGUUAACUUCGGGACAGGAGACGCGGUAAUACGUAGGGGGCAAGCGUUGGCCGGAGUGAAUGGGGUGAAGGGGUGUGGAGGCGGUGUAGCAAGUUAGAAGUGAAAUACCUAGAGCGUAACUGGGGAACUGCCUCUAAGACUGCUAUACUUGAGUGCAGUAGAGGAGGGUAGAAUUCCUGGUGUAGCGGUGGAAUGCGUAGAUAUUAGGAGGAACACCGGUUGCGAAGGCGUCUUUCUGGACUGUGACUGACGCUGAGGCACGAAAGUGUGGGGAGCAAACAGGAUUAGAUACCCCAGUAGUC